Dicentrarchus labrax (European seabass) is the source of this 2006-nucleotide long non-coding RNA. RefSeq lists it as uncharacterized. NCBI's taxonomy places the organism in Eukaryota, Metazoa, Chordata, Actinopteri, Moronidae. The transcript is spliced from 2 exons. The record is from RefSeq and is a predicted model, not a curated record.
CAAUUUGGAUUCUGCAUUAUUCUUGAUGCAUAUGACACAGCUCUCUCUCAACAACGUGAAUCUAGACCAGCAAUGCUCUUGGAGGAGAGGAACAGAAUCACAGCGGCAAAAAUGCAGGAUUUUCUUCAUUUAAGAUUUAACACAUGUGGAAAUGGGUGUAAUGUUUUAGAUCAGAGCCAUAUUUUCAAAUAUUAUCCAAAAUACAUUGGUUUGACAGUGGUACAGUUCAUUUUGGUUACAUGAUCCUCUAGUUUUAAUGUAGUAUUUCUUGUAGUAUUCUGUAGUUUUAAUGUAUUAUUUUGUCUUUGUGUUUUUGUCCUUAAGCCCAAAGCAACAACUUUGUACAGUUGACACAGUGCCAUCUCAAACAGCAACUACAGCAAGCUGUGUCACAAGAAAAGCCAUCUGGCUAUUCAGGAUAUCAGCAGAGAGGAAGUUCAAGAGGACCAGGCUGAGCAAGUCCUGAGGAUCUGUGUCUUCCACACAAGUGAAGAAGAUGAAGGUGCAUCCGACACUGAUGUGUCCAUUGUUAUUGAAGGGACUGAGGUACUUGACAACUAUGGAAGUGUUACAAAGGCCUGUCUCCUGCUCAUGAGCAUCAUUUAUGCCAGGAAUUUGAGUUACCCCCCAAAAACAAAGUACACUUUGGAAGUUUUUCAAAAGCUUCUUCUAGAGCUUGAUGUCCUUAAGCUGUCCCCGAAAAUCCUGUCUCUGCGAAACAAACUUGAGUCUGAGUGCACAUGUAUACGGCACAGUUGUUAAUGUGGCUAUUUGUCUAUUUUCUUAUUUUUCUCUCGUUUUAAUGAUGUCAUUUUUAUUUGAACUUGUUGCGCUGUAUUAAAUACUGUAUGUGGCCAUGUGGAGUGGCUACGUUUUGGGGACAAAAGAAAAGAAGUUAGAUCAGCAUUUUCAAGUUAAACCAGAGGUUCUCAACUGGUGGCUCGUGGGGCCAUUUUUAAUGGGUCACGGAUGUGAGUGUGGGCAUGAAAAGAGCGAGGGGCCAAAUAUCGCACUUUUUAGUGUCAAGAUGCUCUGCUUUUUGUAGGAUAUUACUCACGAUACAGAAACAGACGUUUAGAACCUCAGAGCAAAACACUGUUCUUUAAGAUAAAAAGGAAUAGUAAGCAUGUCUUUUAAGAUGCACCAGCAUGUCAAAUGUUUUCCAGAGUUUAAGGUUAAAAAGCCUCUCCAAACGAUAGGCUACGUAUGCUCUAUGCAAACAGUUCCUGAACUUGUCCUUGUGCCUUUAACAAGCUACCUCAAACCCAUUUUAGCCACCCUAAGAUGAAAUUUCUGUCAUCGUCUACUCACCCCGAUGCCGAUAGAAGGACUCAUCAUGCUCUUCUGGGAGUUUGCCGAGAUGUUUGUUUCUCACAAAACUGCAUUGAACGGCAACUUGGCUUCAAACAUCCAAAAAAUGUCUCCAUAUUGCUCAUCUGAAGUAAUCCAAGUGUCCUGCAGCUUACACAUUCCUAGAUGUUUUGAAAAACAGAACAAAAUUGUGUUUUGGCUUUGUUUGCUCUGCUUUGCUUCCACUGUGGUGCUGCGUGAACACGGAUGGGCUAGCUGGAAGUUAGUAGUGUGUAAGUUUGUGUGCGGCGUUGGAAGGAGCACGCAUUGGAAGAGCAGCAGAGCAAACACAGCUGAAAACACAAGUUUGUUAUGUUUUGUACAAACGUCUUGGCAUGUGUGAGCUACAGGACUGAAUUAAAGUGUUCUCUAAUGUCAGUAAAUAUUAAAUUUGGGGUAAUGACACUGAUCCUGGAUCAGCAUUUAAAUGUACCUUUGAGUUUAUUGUAAGGUAUUCUUAUUAUACUGCAGUGGAGAACAGAGUGACACAUCUCAAACCAUAGUGGACACAAAAAUACUAAUCUUGAUCUCAUGAAUUAAGACUUUCUACUUCACUUGUUGAAUAUUGUAACUGUGUUAUCUUGUGACCAGUUAAAGUCAUCAGAAAUCAGUAUUCAGCAGCUUAUUUUAAACUAAAAUAAAGAAUCUCCAGAGUA